UCCGUAGGUGAACCUGCGGAAGGAUCAUUAUCGUAUCACAUGGCGCACAAAGGCUGUCGCUCNCGCAAGCCGUGCACGCCUGAGUGUUUCCAAAUCCAUCUCACCCUUGUGCACCAUUGCGUGAGCUGUGCCCGUUCCCCUCGGGGCGACGCGGUGUGGCUUGCGUUUUUAUACACAAACCCUGUCACAAUGUCUAGAAUGUCUCUUGCAGUAAACAUGCAAUCUAUACAACUUUCAACAACGGAUCUCUUGGCUCUCGCAUCGAUGAAGAACGCAGCGAAAUGCGAUACGUAAUGUGAAUUGCAGAAUUCAGUGAAUCAUCGAAUCUUUGAACGCACCUUGCGCCUCUUGGUAUUCCGAGAGGCACGCCCGUUUGAGUGUCAUGAAAUUCUCAACCCCUCUUGGUUUUCUUUUGAAUAUCAAGAUGGGCUUGGACUUUGGAGGCUCUUGCUGGAGGCUUAAUUGCGAUCAGCUCCUCUUAAAUGCAUUAGCAGGGUCUUCUUUGCCGACCUUUGGCGUGAUUAAGUAUCUACGUCCCAUGGUGUGGCUCUGAUAUCGAGGCCUGCUUCGAACCGUCUCUUGACNGAGACAACCUUUGAGUUUCCCCCCCUCUUCUUUAGAGAGAGGGCCUCAUUCUGAAACCUUGACCUCAAAUCGGGCGGGACUACCCGCUGAACUUAAGCAUAUCAAUAAGCGGAGGA
Molecule: ribosomal RNA, 701 nt
Filed under: Boidinia aculeata
Lineage: Eukaryota; Fungi; Basidiomycota; Agaricomycetes; Russulales; Russulaceae
Description: eukaryotic LSU rRNA
Rfam family: 5.8S ribosomal RNA (bases 230-383)
Source: RNAcentral